GACGAAGGUGGCGAGCGUUGUUCGGAAUCAUUGGGCUUAAAGCGCACGUAGGCGGCUCUUCAAGUGUCUUGUGAAAUCCCUCGGCUCAACCGGGGAAUUGCUGGGCAUACUGUCGAGCUUGAGGCAGGUAUGGGCGAGUGGAACUCUUGGUGGAGCGGUGGAAUGCAUAGAUAUCAAGAGGAACGCCGGUGGUGAAGACGAUUCGCUGGGCCUGUCCUGACGCUGAGGUGCGAAAGCCAGGGGAGCAAAC
Molecule: ribosomal RNA, 250 nt
Filed under: uncultured bacterium
Lineage: Bacteria
Description: partial 16S ribosomal RNA
Rfam family: Bacterial small subunit ribosomal RNA
Source: RNAcentral